Molecule: ribosomal RNA, 42 nt
Filed under: Ramaria apiculata
Lineage: Eukaryota; Fungi; Basidiomycota; Agaricomycetes; Gomphales; Gomphaceae
Description: partial 28S ribosomal RNA
Source: RNAcentral
UUAAAUCAUAGGACUACCCGCUGAACUUAAGCAUAUCAAUAA